GUGACAGACAAAGGAUUUCUCAUUAUCGGAUGAAUGCUGACAGUCUUUUGAAGAUUUGAAGAAAUAUCUUGCAUUACCACCUCUAUUAACAAAAUCGAAGGUGGAAGAAAUUCUGUAUCUCUAUUUGGCAACUUCAACAGAAGCAAUCAGUUCGGUACUCAUCCAAGAAGAUGAAAAUCAAAUUCAAUAACUGAUCUACUACACCAG
This 207-nucleotide long non-coding RNA is filed under the name Elaeis guineensis (African oil palm). Its description in RNAcentral is "long non-coding RNA (EGUI_LNC005902)". The record is from RNAcentral. Lineage: Eukaryota; Viridiplantae; Streptophyta; Magnoliopsida; Arecales; Arecaceae.